AUCCUUUUGUGGUUCAGAAGCGUGAUGAUUGGGUGUUCACACCUGUGCGUGACAUGUGCCUCCCUCCUGGCACAGUACCCGUCUGACG
This 88-nucleotide small nucleolar RNA is filed under the name Tupaia belangeri chinensis (Chinese tree shrew). RNAcentral describes it as "Tupaia chinensis (Chinese tree shrew) Small nucleolar RNA U13". It matches the Rfam family "Small nucleolar RNA U13". Lineage: Eukaryota; Metazoa; Chordata; Mammalia; Scandentia; Tupaiidae. The record is from Rfam by way of RNAcentral.